Bufo gargarizans (Asiatic toad) is the source of this 3056-nucleotide RNA transcript. It is a transcript of the gene named RCC1 like, with no coding region annotated. NCBI's taxonomy places the organism in Eukaryota, Metazoa, Chordata, Amphibia, Anura, Bufonidae. The transcript has 11 exons. The record is from RefSeq and is a predicted model, not a curated record.
GGGUCCUUUCCGGGUAUAGUAUUUAGCCAUUACCAAGGCUGCUCCGCAUUACGAGCCGCUGCUGCACAGUGCGCGAGUCCGUCCAGGCUUAUGGCGUGCAGUGUCUGCUAUGAAUGACGCUGGUUAUUGGCAGCCAUUCGUAUAGUGGUUGGCUCUAGUCACAUUCACCCUGGGCCUGGAGGAGACGUCUGUCACAGCUAUAUGUUACAAUGCGGCCUUCAUCAUUACUUUUGCGCCUCGAUAUUUGGAAGCCUAAGUUCACAUCUGUGCGACUGCUGACAACGGCUGUGGGGAGAAGCAAGUCGGGAGAUGACCUUCCGACCUUUCAGUACGUUGGGCACAAACCUAGAAGAAAGGACCGUGUUUUUGUAUGGGGCUUCUCUUACACGGGAGCAUUGGGGAUCCCAAGCUUUGUAGUACCCGACAAAGGGAAGAAAAAGCCAAAACAAUACCAACUAACUCCUUAUAGGCUCGAUGUGGAUGAAAAGAUCUCAUCUGCGGCCUGUGGUUACGGCUUUACUCUAUUAUCGUCCAAGACAAGUGACGUGACAAAGGUGUGGGGCAUGGGGUUAAACAAGGAUUCCCAAAUAGGAUUCCAUAGAAGCCGAAGAGAUCGAACGAAAGGUUACGAAUACAUCUUGGAGCCAUCACCUGUACCCCUACCUCUGGAGAAACCACAGGCUACGCGAGUUCUGCAAGUAUCUUGUGGCAGAGCACAUUCCCUUAUUUUGACAGAUAAUGAAGGAGUUUUCAGCAUUGGGAAUAAUUCCUAUGGACAGUGUGCAAGACGAAUUGUUGAGAGUGAGAUUUACAGUGAAAGCCAGUUGAUUCACAGGGUAAAGCAGCUUGACAGCACAGUUGUCCAGGUUGCAUGUGGACAGGAUCAUUCUCUAUUCAGGACAGAGCGAGGAGAGGUUUAUUCCUGUGGCUGGGGAGCUGAUGGGCAAACAGGUCAGGGACAUUAUAACCUCAGCAGUACACCUACCAGGCUGUCUGGUGAUUUGGCUGGUGUGAAUGUUGUGCAGGUAGCCACUUUUGGAGAUUGUUGCCUGGCAGUAUCGAGUGAAGGAGACAUUUACGGCUGGGGAAAUUCUGAAUAUUUGCAGUUAGCAUCUAUAGCUGAUCUCACGCAGGUCAAUGUUCCACAGCUCUUACCAUUCAAGAAUGUUGGAAAGGUGAAGCAGGUGGCUUGCGGUGGAACUAGCUGUGCUCUUUUAAAUGGAUCGCAGCGGUGCAAUAGAUUCUCCAAGCCUUAUAUGUAUGGUGUUCCUGAGGAGCUGGCUGACGGGUACUCUUAUUCCCUAUAGUGCUGUCAUCUGCCCAUACCAUGACAGGUUUCAGCAGGUGGGUUUGCUCAUUUUUCGUGUGUAUUAGUAUGGCUUUCGGUGCAUGGUAUAACCUGCUGAUUUCUAGGGCAUGGGCUUCGAGCCUUCACAGGUAGUGCAUUGCCUCUACCUUUUUCUACGGUGACAGCAUCAGCGUUGCCUUCGUGUGGUUGCGGGUAUGCACUUAUUCAGUAUGCAUAUGUGUAUUGUUUGCAUUGCUCCCCUCCAUGGGUAGAGCGGUCGUACUGUCCUUGUUGUCACCCCUAGAUGCUGUUCUCUAUUGAACCACAUCAGCCUUCUCUACUUCUCUUUUGCAGGGCGAGUAGUUGCCAUUCAUAGGGUGUCGGAUGUAGCGGCUCUUGCCUCUUGGUCGGUCGCCCUUCAUCAUAUGGACUCCGAGCAGGAUUACCCAGUCGGGGUCACAGAACCAAGAAGGGUCACAGAACCGGAGCACCUAAGGAAAACAAUAGCCAGAAAAUCAAGGAAACAACAUCGGACAAGAGAGCGAAUCUAAGCAGAGGUGUCCCCCGAGGCAGCAGAUGAAAUGGCAGGGAAGGAUUUGUCACCAGCCACAGACCUGUCCUGGGUGGGACCCGAGGAUGCCGAGGAUAGAAAUGACAACCCGAGGUCGUCUGCAGGACCUAGUAGAGUGUGACCCAUCUGCAGCAGGGUCCCUGGGAGGGCAGAGGUGGCCUCAAUUUUGGGCAGGCAAUCGGUGUCGUGACCCUGUCAUAGUUUUGGAGAGUCGGACAGGAUUCCCUAUUGCUUGGCACAGGAAAGAGGCCCAGUUAGGAGAGACCGACCCAGAAGUGGGCUGGGGAGCUACUGCUCACAAACAGGGACAGGCGGACCGCGUAAGUGGUGUCUGUACGACCUGUGCACGGACGUCACUGCAGUCCACACCUAGAGCAGACAUUACUAGAGGUCAGGUUACCUCAUGGGGGUAAAAUGUAUAUGUAUACAACAUAAUACUGGACGGUCCGGUCAUCUCAGAACAGUCUGACUGCCAGAGAAACACAAUCACUGGAGGGGACCCAAGGAAGCAGAGAGGGAGGCUGGGAAAGGGGGAAAAAAAAAACGCCAGCCGGAGGCUGUCCUACCAGACCCCAGGUGCUGUCUCCCGAAGAGGCGCUGCAGAGGGGACCAGGGAGGUUGCAGGAGAGAUGCCAACAAGAUGGAGUCAUCUUCUUCUUCCAGGCAGAGGGAGGAGGUUCCGCCCCCCCCCCCCCCCCCCAACAGAAAGCCAGCACUUGGCCUGGUUAUGGGCCAUUGAGGAAGCACGGGAAAACUAAGAGGGGCGGCACAAGCGCGGCCUAGCAGGACCAGAAGCCAGGGCCUCUAUUUAUGAGGUGGCCGGGAAGGAGCGAGGUGGGCGGGGCUUGAUGUGACAGACCCUCCGGACAAAAAUAAAAUAAAAAACGGGUGAGGAGGGUAGAGGGGCGACGACCGGGGAAGGGUGACACGAGGCAAAGGAAGCACCUGGGGGCCCGUGGACAGGCCACGAAAAAAACACGGCCUAAGCCGGCGACUAAAUUAGCUGGAAGGGCUGUGGAGAAGCGGGUUGGCCAGGGAGGCAUAACAUGCUAUAUAUGUGUAAUCUCAUCCACAGAUUUUCCCCCCCAUCCCAAUAACAGUGCGCCAUCAACAGCUCAACCCCCCCCCCCCCCCCCAUAACGUCAUCCACAGAUGGCCCCCCCAAUAACUGUGUGUCAUCCACAGAUGGGUCGUGUC